GCGCCGGCCGGCGGCGCGCGCGAGGCGCAGGCAGCCCAGAACGCGCGCCGAGCGCUUGCGCGGGGCCGACGGCCACCUAGGGGUGAGGAGCGCCCGGCACAGUCGCCGGCCAGCGCGCCUCUAGCCCACCUGCCGCCUGGCCAGAGAGGGGUGGACUAUGUGGCCAAAUGAAAUGGCCAGGCCGCGAGCCCUCGGAGGAGCCGCCUCUGUAAAGUUCUAAGCUUGCCGGGCACAGGCAGAGAGAAAGUUCAAAAUCAGGCUGCUGUGGUAGAAAUUAACGAGACAGGAGACUGUCGCGGCCGAGCAGAGGAGACGGCAGAAAGAUGCUAGGAAGACACUAGGAAAAAAUCGAACAGUUAUGACUCAGUGUGGGAGAAGAUGCUACAAAAGCGUGAACACCAAGGAAGAGGCAAGGAUCACUGAGCCAUGCCGGAUAUUGGCUACCACAACCAACUCCCACCAGCACUGAAUAUUUCACUUGCAAAUGACUGAAAAGUAUUGCUUCAGAUGAGACUUGACCCAGCAACUCAAACUAAAUCACCAAAACCAAGCAUCCAGGCCCAGAGACACGAGAGUGAAUGUUGGUGUGUCCAAAUCAAACAGGACGAAUAGAUUGGAUUAGGAGUGGAGAGGAUGAAGAAUCUGGAGAACACAUUUUCAUAGACCCUAGAGUACACAGCCUGAAUGGAUCACUCCAAAGGACUAAUGAAACAGAGACACAGUAACAGAAGAGGAGAUGAGGACACAGCCACAUACGGAGGAAAGACCAUGUGAAGACAGCGGAGGAAGAUGGCCAUCAGCAAACAGAGACCUUAAAAGAAACCAACCUCUCAGAAACGUUGAUCUUAGACUUCUAGACUCCAGAAGUGUGAGAAAAUAAAUUUCUGUUGUUUAAGCUACCUUGUCUGUGGUACAGGCCUACUUUGAAUAUAUUGUAGAUUUUGUUCCAGACUACUACAAUAAAGUGAAU
Molecule: long non-coding RNA, 970 nt
Organism: Zalophus californianus (California sea lion)
Lineage: Eukaryota; Metazoa; Chordata; Mammalia; Carnivora; Otariidae
Exons: 5
Source: RefSeq, a predicted model, not a curated record